This 462-nucleotide ribosomal RNA is filed under the name uncultured bacterium. Its description in RNAcentral is "bacterial SSU rRNA". It matches the Rfam family "Bacterial small subunit ribosomal RNA", at positions 29 to 480 of the family's 1533-position model. The record is from RNAcentral.
AACGAACGCUGGCGGCGCGCUUAACACAUGCAAGUCGAACGAGAAGGCGUAGCAAUACGCUUGUACAGUGGCGAACGGGUGAGGAAUACAUGGGUAACCUACCCUCGAGUGGGGGAUAACCCGCCGAAAGGCGGGCUAAUACCGCGUACGCUUCCGAUCUUGCGGGAUCGGAAGGAAAGCUGUCCCUUGGGGAUGGCGCUCAAGGAUGGGCUCAUGUCCUAUCAGCUUGUUGGAGGGUAACGGCCUACCAAGGCAUCGACGGGUAGCUGGUCUGAGAGGACGAUCAGCCACACUGGCACUGCGACACGGGCCAGACUCCUACGGGAGGCAGCAGUGAGGAAUAUUGCGCAAUGGGCGAAAGCCUGACGCAGCGACGCCGCGUGGGGGAGUGAAGGUCUUCGGAUUGUAAACCCCUUUUCGGGAGGGAAGACGGCCUUAGACAACUAAGGCGGACGGGUACCU